RNAcentral lists this ribosomal RNA (504 nucleotides) under uncultured bacterium. Its description in RNAcentral is "partial 16S ribosomal RNA". It matches the Rfam family "Bacterial small subunit ribosomal RNA", at positions 30 to 523 of the family's 1533-position model. The record is from RNAcentral.
AUUGAACGCUGGCGGCAGGCCUAACACAUGCAAGUCGAACGGUAGCACAGAGAGCUUGCUCUCGGGUGACGAGUGGCGGACGGGUGAGUAACGUCUGGGAAACUGCCCGAUGGAGGGGGAUAACUACUGGAAACGGUAGCUAAUACCGCAUAACGUCGCAAGACCAAAGUGGGGGACCUUCGGGCCUCACACCAUCGGAUGUGCCCAGAUGGGAUUAGCUAGUAGGUGGGGUAAUGGCUCACCUAGGCGACGAUCCCUAGCUGGUCUGAGAGGAUGACCAGCCACACUGGAACUGAGACACGGUCCAGACUCCUACGGGAGGCAGCAGUGGGGAAUAUUGCACAAUGGGCGCAAGCCUGAUGCAGCCAUGCCGCGUGUAUGAAGAAGGCCUUCGGGUUGUAAAGUACUUUCAGCGGGGAGGAAGGCGGUGAAGUUAAUAACUUCACCGAUUGACGUUACCCGCAGAAGGAGCACUGGCUAACUCCGUGCCAGCAGCCGCAGUAA